GUUUUUAUAGUUUAAAAAAAACAUUACAUUUUCAAUGUAAAAUUGAGGUUACUCUUUAAAUA
This 62-nucleotide transfer RNA is filed under the name Cryptocephalus lividimanus. RNAcentral's name for it is "tRNA-Glu". The record is from RNAcentral. Lineage: Eukaryota; Metazoa; Arthropoda; Insecta; Coleoptera; Chrysomelidae.